GUAGUCUCGCACAGAUGCAUAUCAAUAAGCGGAGGAAAAGAAACUAACAAGGAUUCCCCUAGUAACGGCGAGUGAAGCGGGAAGAGCUCAAAUUUGAAAUCUUAAAGGGUUUCCCUUUACUAAUUGUAGUUUAAAGAAGUGUUUUCUGUUGAGGUUUUGGUAAAAGUUCUUUGGAAUAGGACAUCAUAGAGGGUGAGAAUCCCGUAUUUGACCUUUACUUUCAACUUUGUGAUACACUUUCAAAGAGUCGGAUUGUUUGGGAAUGCAGUCCAAAAUGGGUGGUAAAUUUCAUCUAAAGCUAAAUAUUGGCGAGAGACCGAUAGCGAACAAGUACCGUGAGGGAAAGAUGAAAAGAACUUUGAAAAGAGAGUUAAACAGUACGUGAAAUUGUCAAAAGGGAAGCGUUUGACACCAGUGUUGUUUUUCUGAAAAUCAACUUAAAGAACUGUUUAUGCUAAGCUGUUUAGACUUAUCAGCUAACUGUUUAGUUUUGAGCUUUUCUCUAAUGCACUUUUCAGUUAACAAGUCAACAUCAAUUUCUUUUGCUGUAAAAAAGCUUGAGGAAGGUGGCUUGAGAUUCGUCUUAAGUGUUUAUAGCCUCUUGCCUAUGCAGUCGGAGAGAUUGAGGUCUGCAGCGUAGAUCCUUCGGGGCUAAAUGCAUUUGUGCUAAGUUAUAGCAUUUUAUAGACAACUUGUUGACUAUGAUUUGUCUUGUAGCUUACUCGCUUAUGUUAUUUUACCUACGCUUAGGAUGUUGAAGACUCUACAGAGAUA
RNAcentral lists this ribosomal RNA (774 nucleotides) under uncultured Neocallimastigales. RNAcentral describes it as "partial large subunit ribosomal RNA". It matches the Rfam family "Eukaryotic large subunit ribosomal RNA", at positions 24 to 626 of the family's 3401-position model. The record is from RNAcentral. Lineage: Eukaryota; Fungi; Neocallimastigomycota; Neocallimastigomycetes; Neocallimastigales.